UUUACCCUCUGGCAAGAAGGUUGUGACCUGUAAAUGGGUUUUUGCCAUCAAAGUCAAUCUAGAUAGUUUCAUAGCAAGGCUUAAGGCCCGUCUUGUCGCCAAAGAUUAUGUCCAAACCUAUGGCGUUGACUAUUCUAACACUUUUUCUCCUGUGGCAAAAAUGACAUUAGUUCGCUUGUUCAUCUCCCUUGCUGCUUCUCAGCAUUAGCCUUUACACCAGUGAGAUAUCAAGGAUGCAUUUUUAUAUGGUGACCUCCAAGAGGAGGUGUAUAUGGAGCAACCACCAGAGUUUGUUGCUCAAAGGAAGUAUGGGAAAGUCUGCUGUUUGAAUAAAUCUUUGUAUGGUUUGAAGCAGAGUUCCCUGUGUAUGGUUGGCAAGUUCAGUGAAGUUGUUCAAAAUUUGGAUUGAAAAAAAAAAGUGUGACCAUUCAGUCUUCUAUAGAAAUUCAGAUACUAGUAUUAUUCUCCUUGUUGUGUAUGUUGAUGAUAUUUCAUUACAGAGAAUGAUAGUACAAGGAUCUCUUCUCUCAAAAAUUACUUGCAUGAGAGUUUUCAUACCAAAGACUUGGGCCAGCUUAAGUAUUUCUUAGGAGUCAAAAUCUUGAGGAGUCGAAGUCUUGAGGAGUAAAAGAGAAAUUUUCCUGUCUCAAAGGAAGUAUAUCCUUGACUUACUUGCAGAAACUGGAAAGAUGGGAGCUAAACCAUGUAGCACACCAAUGAUUUCUAAUAUAAUAUAUGUCUUACAAAGGAUGACAGAGACCCUUAUGAUGAUCCAGAGAGGUAUAGGAGGUUGGUUGGAAAGUUGAACUACCUUAUGGUGAUGAUCCGGUCAAAUAUUACAUUUGCAGUAAACGUUGUAAGUCAGUUCAUGUCUGCACCUGUGAAACAUUGGAUCUAGAAUUUCAUGUCUGCACCUGUGAAACAUUGGACCGCUCUAGAACAAAUUCUAUGUUAUCUAAAAGGGACUCAUGGACUCGGUAUACUCUAUAGUGAUUAUGGGCAUACUGCACUUGAGUAUUUUUCUGAUGCUGACUGGGCGAGACCCAAAAGUGAUAGAAGGUCGACUACAGGCUAUUGUGUAUUUAUUGGAAGAAACCUAGUGUCUUGAAAA
This 1111-nucleotide long non-coding RNA is filed under the name Manihot esculenta (cassava). RNAcentral's name for it is "long non-coding RNA (MESC_LNC011582)". Lineage: Eukaryota; Viridiplantae; Streptophyta; Magnoliopsida; Malpighiales; Euphorbiaceae. The record is from RNAcentral.